RNAcentral lists this ribosomal RNA (3119 nucleotides) under Mycolicibacterium obuense. Its description in RNAcentral is "23S ribosomal RNA". It matches the Rfam family "Bacterial large subunit ribosomal RNA". Lineage: Bacteria; Bacillati; Actinomycetota; Actinomycetes; Mycobacteriales; Mycobacteriaceae. The record is from RNAcentral.
UUGUAAGUGUUUAAGGGCGCAUGGUGGAUGCCUUGGCACUGGGAGCCGAUGAAGGACGUGGGAGGCUGCGAUAUGCCUCGGGGAGCUGCCAACCGAGCGUGGAUCCGAGGAUGUCCGAAUGGGGAAACCCGGCACGAGUGAUGUCGUGUCACCCGGCACUGAAUACAUAGGUGUCGGGGGGGAACGCGGGGAAGUGAAACAUCUCAGUACCCGUAGGAAGAGAAAACAAAAGUGAUUCCGUGAGUAGUGGCGAGCGAAAGCGGAGGAUGGCUAAACCGUGCACAUGUGAUACCCGGCAGGGGUUGUGUGUGCGGUGUUGUGGGGUGCAUUGUUCUCAGAUCUGCCGGUCUGGGCUGCAGUGAGAAAAGCUCGUGUUAGUCGAACUGGUUUGGGAUGGCCGACCGUAGAGGGUGAGAGUCCCGUAGGUGAAAACACGUGCUCUGUAGUGAUGUGUCCCCGAGUAGCAGCGGGCCCGUGGAAUCUGCUGUGAAUCUGCCGGGACCACCCGGUAAGCCUGAAUACUUCCCAGUGACCGAUAGCGGAUUAGUACCGUGAGGGAAUGGUGAAAAGUACCCCGGGAGGGGAGUGAAAGAGUACCUGAAACCGUGUGCCUACAAUCCGUCAGAGCCCUCGACUUGUCGUGGGGUGAUGGCGUGCCUUUUGAAGAAUGAGCCUGCGAGUCAGGGACAUGUCGCGAGGUUAACCCGGGUGGGGUAGCCGUAGCGAAAGCGAGUCUGAAUAGGGCGUAUCCACACAACAGUGUGUGGUGUAGUGGUGUGUUCUGGACCCGAAGCGGAGUGAUCUACCCAUGGCCAGGGUGAAGCGACGGUAAGACGUCGUGGAGGCCCGAACCCACUUAGGUUGAAGACUGAGGGGAUGAGCUGUGGGUAGGGGUGAAAGGCCAAUCAAACUCCGUGAUAGCUGGUUCUCCCCGAAAUGCAUUUAGGUGCAGCGUUGCAUGCUUCUUGUUGGAGGUAGAGCUACUGGAUGGCCGAUGGGCCUCACAAGGUUACUGACGUCAGCCAAACUCCGAAUGCCGACAAGUGAGAGUGUGGCAGUGAGACGGCGGGGGAUAAGCUCCGUGCGUCGAGAGGGAAACAGCCCAGAUCGCCGGCUAAGGCCCCUAAGCGUGUGCUAAGUGGAAAAGGAUGUGCAGUCGCGAAGACAACCAGGAGGUUGGCUUAGAAGCAGCCACCCUUGAAAGAGUGCGUAAUAGCUCACUGGUCAAGUGAUUGUGCGCCGAUAAUGUAGCGGGGCUCAAGCACACCGCCGAAGCCGCGGCAAUCAGAUANNNNNNNNNNNNNNNNNNNNNNNNNNNNNNNNNNNNNNNNNNNNNNNNNNNNNNNNNNNNNNNNNNNNNNNNNNNNNNNNNNNNNNNNNNNNNNNGAUGUAUGUCUGGUUGGGUAGGGGAGCGUCCUGCAUCCGGUGAAGCAGCAGAGUGAUCUAGCUGUGGAGGGUGUGGGAGUGAGAAUGCAGGCAUGAGUAGCGAUAAGGCAAGUGAGAACCUUGCCCGCCGAAAGACCAAGGGUUCCUGGGCCAGGCCAGUCCGCCCAGGGUGAGUCGGGACCUAAGGCGAGGCCGACAGGCGUAGUCGAUGGACAACGGGUUGAUAUUCCCGUACCCGUGUGUGAGCGUCCCUGAUGAAUCAGCGGUACUAACCGCCCAAAACCACGGUCACCGAUCCCUUCGGGGUGAGGGAUUGUGGGGCUGCGCGGGACCUUCGUUGGUAGUAGUCAAGCGAUGGGGUGACGCAGGAAGGUAGCCGUACCAGUCAGUGGUUGUACUGGGGUAAGCCUGUAGGGAGACAUCUAGGCAAAUCCGGAUGUCACAUAUCCUGAGAGGUGAUGCAUAGCCGAUUGAGGCGAAUUCGGUGAUCCUAUGCUGCCAAGAAAAGCCUCUAGCGAGUGCACACACGGCCCGUACCCCAAACCGACACAGGUGGUCAGGUAGAGAAUACCAAGGCGUACGAGUGAACUAUGGUUAAGGAACUCGGCAAAAUGCCCCCGUAACUUCGGGAGAAGGGGGACCUCCAUACCGUCAACCGGUUUACCCGGGGCAGCGGGAGGGGGUGGCACAAACCAGUGAGAAGCGACUGUUUACUAAAAACACAGGUCCGUGCGAAGUCGCAAGACGAUGUAUACGGACUGACGCCUGCCCGGUGCUGGAAGGUUAAGAGGACCGGUUAACCCUUCGGGGUGAAGCUGAGAAUUUAAGCCCCAGUAAACGGCGGUGGUAACUAUAACCAUCCUAAGGUAGCGAAAUUCCUUGUCGGGUAAGUUCCGACCUGCACGAAUGGCGUAACGACUUCUCAACUGUCUCAACCAUAGACUCGGCGAAAUUGCAUUACGAGUAAAGAUGCUCGUUACGCGCGGCAGGACGAAAAGACCCCGGGACCUUCACUACAACUUGGUAUUGGAGUUCGGUUCGGUUUGUGUAGGAUAGGUGGGAGACUGUGAAGCGGCCACGCCAGUGGUUGUGGAGUCGUUGUUGAAAUACCACUCUGAUCGUAUUGGGCUUCUAACUUCGAACCGUAUAUCCGGUUCAGGGACAGUGCCUGGUGGGUAGUUUAACUGGGGCGGUUGCCUCCUAAAAUGUAACGGAGGCGCCCAAAGGUUCCCUCAACCUGGACGGCAAUCAGGUGUUGAGUGUAAGUGCACAAGGGAGCUUGACUGCGAGACGUACAUGUCGAGCAGGGACGAAAGUCGGGACUAGUGAUCCGGCACCUCUGAGUGGAAGGGGUGUCGCUCAACGGAUAAAAGGUACCCCGGGGAUAACAGGCUGAUCUUCCCCAAGAGUCCAUAUCGACGGGAUGGUUUGGCACCUCGAUGUCGGCUCGUCGCAUCCUGGGGCUGGAGCAGGUCCCAAGGGUUGGGCUGUUCGCCCAUUAAAGCGGCACGCGAGCUGGGUUUAGAACGUCGUGAGACAGUUCGGUCUCUAUCCGCCGCGCGCGUCAGAAGCUUGAGGAAAUCUGUCCCUAGUACGAGAGGACCGGGACGGACGAACCUCUGGUACACCAGUUGUCCCACCAGGGGCACCGCUGGAUAGCCACGUUCGGACAGGAUAACCGCUGAAAGCAUCUAAGCGGGAAACCCCCUCCAAGACCAGGCUUCUCACCCAUU